CACAAUAUUAUAAACAAAAUUAAAAACCUCGACAGCCUGGUAAAUCUUCAAGAUCUUGAUCUUUCUUUUAACCGAAUAAAAAAAAUGGAAAUCUAAAUAAAUUAAUAACAAGAUUUUGUGAAUAAAAUUUAUCUUUUAGGUUUUAUAUUUAAGAAAAUUUUUAAAUCUGAGAACUGUAAAUAUCACAGGAAACCCUUGCAUUUUACCAGACAAUUAUGAUAAUUAUCUUGUUGCUUACAACCUCAAGUGAUUUAUUUUUCGUAUGUCUUAAUCAGCAAAGAAGAAAGAAAUGACGCCAUCAAAAAGUACAGACAAGCAAUUAUUAAAGUUGAAGAAGUCGAAUUAAAAAUUAAAAUAAAAAUGGAUAAACAACAGAAAGUAAAUA
Molecule: long non-coding RNA, 385 nt
Organism: Cotesia glomerata
Lineage: Eukaryota; Metazoa; Arthropoda; Insecta; Hymenoptera; Braconidae
Exons: 2
Source: RefSeq, a predicted model, not a curated record